This 253-nucleotide ribosomal RNA is filed under the name uncultured bacterium. RNAcentral's name for it is "partial 16S ribosomal RNA". It matches the Rfam family "Bacterial small subunit ribosomal RNA", at positions 524 to 776 of the family's 1533-position model. The record is from RNAcentral.
UACGGAGGAUGCAAGCGUUAUCCGGAAUGAUUGGGCGUAAAGCGUCCGCAGGUGGCAAUGUAAGUCUGCUGUUAAAGAGUCUAGCUCAACUAGAUAAAAGCAGUGGAAACUACAUAGCUAGAGUACGUUCGGGGCAGAGGGAAUUCCUGGUGUAGCGGUGAAAUGCGUAGAGAUCAGGAAGAACACUGGUGGCGAAGGCGCUCUGCUAGGCCGUAACUGACACUGAGGGACGAAAGCUAGGGGAGCGAAUGGG